This 14154-nucleotide long non-coding RNA is filed under the name Solanum lycopersicum (tomato). Its description in RNAcentral is "long non-coding RNA (SLYC_LNC000116)". The record is from RNAcentral. Lineage: Eukaryota; Viridiplantae; Streptophyta; Magnoliopsida; Solanales; Solanaceae.
AAUCACUUUGAGUUAAUGCCAUUUGGUAGUGGAAGAAGAAUGUGCCCUGGAAUUUCGUUAGCCCUUCAAGUUUUGCCCUUUGUAAUUGCAAAAUUGCUGCAGGGUUUUAACAUGAAGAGGCCUUCAGAUGAACCAAUUGAUAUGAGUGAGAGCUUUGGAUUGACCGUACUCAAAGCUUCUCCACUCGAAGUUCUCCUUGCUCCGCGCUUGGCUCCCGAUCUUUAUGAAUGAAAUGAUAGACAAAACUUGUGCCUCAUGCCACUGUUGUUUACUACAAGUUUGUAAUAUUGUAAUGCAGAUAAUAACAGAACUUAAAAAUUCCUUCAUUUGAAAUGCGAUUGUAAAAGUAUUUUACAAGUCCAUCAAGUUUUGGUGGUGAAUAAUAAUAAGAUUGCUCAACUGCCACAGGCCUUGGCAUUAGAACUCUUGUGCUACAACUACUCCCUUUUGUGCUUGGGCAAUUAUUGGCAAGAUAUCAAAAAGAGAGUCGUAGUUGAUUUACUCGAUAUCAAAUGUUGCUCAAAAUAUAAAUGAGAAAUUAGUUCGAGAACUUGAUCAUAAACUUUAGUGUACAUAGUAAUUUGAAUCUACAAUUUUAUGUUAAAAUAUAUGAUCAACGCAUUUAAUAAUUUAACAUACUAUUAAAGAGAUUGAACAUGUUUUUAUUUUUUUUAGUUACGUCUAACCUAGUGAGCAAAAUAUUAUGUACCUAGUUGUUGAGGCCACAGUAUUCAACUCUCGUACAUACAUGUUAGGCAUGUGUAUGUAUAUAUUCACUUAAAAUUUGUCUUCAUUAUAAUGAUUUCUUAAUUUGUACCUUGUGAGAAUCUUUUAGGGUUGGUAGUGAUGAUACCACAUGGGCAAAAAUUCAUCGUACCUCUCAAAAAGGCCAGGUUGUACUAGUGAGUUGGACAACAUGUGAUAUCUAACGAGGAAAUCAUGAAUAUGAUUUUCCACUACUACUAUAUUUUUCCAAUAGAGUUUAACGCACUUAACGUAUUCACGUGAAUUUAUGCUCCUCUUUUAAAUUAUAUAUAACAGUGUUAUAUUUUUUAAAAAGUAUUUAAGCAUAGAUGUGUGAACUCACACUUGAAGUAUCAAAUAACGUCGUGUUAUAAUGAUUGGAUGCACUUCUCUAAUCAAAGUUAAAAAAAUUUGAAUCUUUUAUUUGACAAAAUAAAGUUAAACUGGAUGAAUUUAUAUCUUAAAUUUUCUUUUUCGUAGUACACCUAUCAUCUCAAAAUUCUGAAUAUGCCUCUGCUAGUAUAAUUUCAAAAAUUAUUGCAUAUAAGUGAAUCUACUAGAUGCGUACUCAAAGUAUAGCAAUCGAGUUUUCCAUUGGUUAAACACAAGAAGAAGAAAAAAGGAAGAAGCCAAGUUGUUUCAUGGAACAUACUUCGCGAAUUAUCAACUUUCCAUAGUAUAAAAUAGUAUUAAACAUAGUAAUAUUUCUAUUAGUUCUUUUUUUUAUUUAAUAUUUCUACUAGUUACAUUAGCACCGAUUAUAAAUAAUUAUUGUAAAUCACACUAGAUACACACUAUAUAUAUAUAUGGUGUGAUUUGAACGAAUUUGGGAAAUCAGACGAUACACAAGCGAAAUAUUAAAGUGAAGAGGGAUAUGAGAGAGAGGCGAAAGAGAUAUGCGCAUGGUGAGCAAGAUAAGAGGAAGACAGACUAGAUUUAUCUAUUAUACUAAAUACACGUGAUUCACACUAAUAUGUCUAAACAUUUGUACACAAUGAUUAGAGAGUAAUUCGAGUACAACUAUUUUCUCCAUUUCUCUCCAAUAUGGGCCUUUCCCAAAACGGCUAUGUUAUAUGCCUAGAGCUCUAUUGCCAACGACUUAAGCCGGCUUGCCAAGUCCUUAAUGUUGGUUAGUAAACCAAUCUUGGGCUACCUUCGUAUCGUUCAACAAAAUUUGAUGGGCUCCAAAUUUUACUGUGAAAAUUGGCGCAUAUUUGUCUGCCAUGAGCCCAAGUGUUUUGUGAGGCAGAUUAGAUCCAGUGAAAAGAUGAAGAUGGCCGAUAACAAGGAAAAACUACUUAACUACACAUAAAUUACUAUCAUAUAUACAAUUUUAUCUCUAGUUUCAAACAAUUACUUAUGUUAUUACUUUUUAUAUUUUAUAUCAUAUAUUUUAAAAGAUACAAUCAGAUAAACAAUUUUUUUUUAAAAAAUGAAUUGAUUAAUUAUCUUUGUAUUUAAACACCUAAAUAAUGGUGAAUUGACAUAGAAAAAUUCUCUCUCAUCAAUCAUAUCUCUCUUCCAAAUAAAAUUCUUAUUAUUCAUCCGUAUUGCAUCUGUCAUCCCACCCUCAUAUACAUCCGCCAAUAUUUUUUCUUUCUCUGAAAUUACAUUUAAAUAGCAAAUCAAAAUUGUUGAAUGCCUUGAAUUGGGCCCUUAAUUUUCUAUUGAUUCUGUAUGUUGGGCCCAAGCCUGUUAGGGCGUAGCUUAGCACUAUAUAUAGACGCUAUGGGAAACCCUAUUCUGUAAUUCUGUUCUUGCCUCUCCAUAAUAAAACUGUCCCCCUCUUUCCGUGGACGUAGCCAAUUUAUUGGUGAACCACGUAAACUGUUGUCUUGUUUUUCGCGUUUAUAUUUUCUCGUAUUAUCUCAAAUUCCGCACAACAAAUUGGUAUAAGAGCCUCUCGGUUAAUCGGUGUUCUUGGAGAAUUCGAGAUGUCUGCUUUGAACGUGAAAAUCGACAAAUUCACAGGGAGGAACAGUUUCAGUUUAUGGCAGAUCAAGAUGCGGGCUUUGUUGAAACAGCAAGGCUUCUGGGCGCCGUUGUCGAAAGACAAGAACGCCGUCGUUACUCCUGAGAUGGCGAUUCUGGAGGAAAAGGCGCACUCGACGAUCAUGCUGUGUCUCGCGGAUGACGUCAUCACGGAGGUCUCGGAUGAAGAGACUGCUGCUGGUCUGUGGUUGAAGCUGGAGAGUUUGUACAUGACAAAAUCUCUAACCAACAAGCUGCUUCUGAAACAACGUCUAUUCGAUUUACGAAUGGCUGAAGGUACACAACUCAGGGAACACUUAGAGCAAUUGAAUACUUUGUUAUUAGAAUUGCGUAAUAUCGAUGUGAAGAUCGAGGAUGAAGAUGCUGCCCUGAUUCUGUUAGUAUCUCUCCCAAUGUCGUUUGAGAAUUUUAUUCAAUCGUUCAUUGUUGGGAAAGAUACUGUGUCACUGGAAGAAGUCAGAUCGGCCCUUCAUAGCAGGGAAUUACGGCAUAAGGCUAACGGCACAAGUACGGACAUACAGCCUUCCGGUCUGUUCACCAGUAGCGGAAAGGGAAGGAAAAACGGCGGAAAGAAAAAUAAGCCGAUGUCGAAGGGUGCAAAGCCGGAUGAUGUUUGUAAUUACUGCAAGGAGAAGGGACAUUGGAAAUUUGAUUGUCCGAAGAAGAAGAAGCAAUCGGAAAAACAAUCAGUGUCUGCUGCUGUUGCUGAAGAAGACACCAAUUCUGAAGAAGAUAUUGCCCUAGUUGCGGAUGAGCACACUCAUCAUUCAGAUGUGUGGGUUCUCGAUUCUGGGGCAUCCUAUCACAUCUGUCCUAGGAGAGAGUGGUUCACGACUUAUGAGCAGGUAGACGGAGGCAGCAUCUCGAUGGCCAACAGUUCUGUCUGCAAGGUGGUUGGGACAGGCUCGAUCAAGAUAAGGACACAUGACGGUAGCUUCUGCACAUUGAACGAGGUCAGGCACGUUCCAUUGAUGAUGAAAAAUCUGAUAUCUCUCAGUCUUUUGGACAGCAAGGGAUUCAGCUGGUCGGGAAAAGAUGGAGUCUUGCGGGUCUGGAAGGGUUCAAAUUUGAUUCUGAAAGGUGUCAUGCGUGGUACUUUGUAUUUUCUACAAGGUUCCACGGUUACAGGUUCAGCCCAUGUUGCAUCGUCAGAAUUUCACCAGAAGGAUAUGACUAAGUUAUGGCACAUGAGACUUGGUCAUAUGGGUGAAAGAGGGAUGCAAAUUCUGUCAAAGGAGGAUUUACUUGCUGGUCAUAAGGUUAAGAGCCUAGAGUUUUGUGAACAUUGUGUUUUUGGAAAACUACAUCGCAACAAGUUUCCAAAGGCCAUUUAUAGAACAAAAGGCACACUUGAUUAUAUUCAUUCUGAUUGCUGGGGUCCAUGCCGUGUUGAGUCUUUGGGAGGUUGCAGAUUUUUUGUGUCCAUUAUUGAUGACUACUCAAGGAUGACUUGGGUGUACAUGAUGAAGCAUAAAAGUCAAGCCUUCCAGAAGUUCAAGGAGUGGAAAAUUUUGAUGGAAAAUCAAACAGGGAAGAAGAUCAAGAGGUUGCGAACUGAUAAUGGGCUGGAAUUCUGUUGGUCUGAAUUUGAUCAAUUCUGUAAGGAUGAAGGGAUUGCUCGACAUCGUACAGUCAGAAAUACACCACAGCAGAACGGUGUAGCUGAGCGGAUGAAUCAAACACUUCUGGAGAGAGCAAGGUGCAUGUUCUCUAAUGCUGGGCUAGAUAGAAGAUUCUGGGCAGAAGCGGUUAGUACAGCUUGCUACUUGAUUAACCGCGGACCACAUACAGGCAUACAGUGCAAGACACCUAUGGAGAUGUGGUCAGGAAAAGCUGCUGAUUAUUCAAAUCUGAAAGCUUUUGGUUGUACGGCUUACUAUCACGUCAGUGAAGGUAAGUUAGAACCAAGAGCUAAAAAGGGAGUAUUUGUGGGCUACGGAGAUGGAGUGAAAGGUUUCAGAAUCUGGUCUCCAGCAGAAAAGAGGGUUAUUAUGAGCAGGAACGUUGUCUUUGAUGAAAGUUCUCUGCUUAGAACCAUUGUGAAGCCUACAACUACGUCAGAAACUGGGAGUCUUGACAAACAGGUGGAGUUUCAAGUCAUUCAGAACGAGAGAGAUUUAAAGGAACCUGAAGAGGAGGAUCAAGAGCCACAGACAAAAACUGAUAUUCCAGAAUCUAUGCCAUCAGAUAUCCAUCAGAGUAUAGCUCAAGAUCGGCCAAGGAGGGUUGGAGUUCGGCCACCUACGAGGUAUGGUUUUGAGGACAUGGUGGGUUAUGCACUGCAGGUUGCUGAAGAGGUAGAUACAUCUGAGCCGUCUACUUACAAAGAAGCCAUUUUAAGUUCUGAUUCUGAAAAAUGGUUUGCCGCUAUGGGAGAUGAGAUGGAGUCCCUACACAAGAAUCAGACAUGGGAUCUGGUCAUACAGCCUUUGGGGAGAAAGAUUAUUACUUGCAAAUGGGUUUUCAAGAAGAAGGAAGGGAUAUCACCAGCAGAAGGAGUCAAGUAUAAAGCCAGGGUUGUUGCCAGAGGUUUCAACCAAAGAGAGGGAGUGGACUACAAUGAGAUCUUCUCACCAGUGGUCAGACAUACUUCCAUCCGAGUGUUACUAGCGAUAGUUGCACAUCAGAAUCUGGAGCUUGAACAACUUGAUGUGAAGACAGCGUUUCUACAUGGAGAGUUGGAGGAAGAGAUAUACAUGACUCAGCCGGAUGGUUUCCAAGUUCCAGGGAAGGAAAAUCACGUCUGCAAGUUGAAGAAGUCCUUAUAUGGACUUAAGCAGUCUCCAAGGCAGUGGUAUAAAAGGUUUGACAGCUAUAUGGUGAAGUUGGGCUAUACUCGGAGCUCAUAUGAUUGUUGUGUCUACUACAAUAGGCUCAAUGAUGAUUCAUUCAUCUAUCUGGUGCUUUAUGUAGAUGAUAUGUUGAUAGCUGCAAAGAAGAAGUAUGACAUUCAGAAGCUGAAGGGUUUACUUAGUGCUGAGUUUGAGAUGAAGGAUCUGGGAGCCGCUCGGAAGAUUUUAGGGAUGGAGAUCAUUAGAGACAGAGAGAGAAGGAAACUUUUCUUGUCACAGAGAAGCUACAUUCAGAAGGUCUUGGCGAGGUUUGAUAUGUCUUCAUCUAAGCCCAUUGAUACCCCCAGUGCUGCCAAUAUCCAUCUCACUGCCAUGUUCGCUCCACAGUCAGAAGAAGAGAAGGAGUAUAUGUCACGAGUCCCUUAUGCCAGUGCCGUAGGAAGUUUGAUGUAUGCUAUGGUCUGUACAAGGCCAGAUUUAGCACAUGCAGUCAGUGUAGUGAGCAGAUUCAUGGGACAACCAGGGAGAGAACAUUGGCAGGCUGUGAAGAGAAUUUUCCGGUACCUUAGAGGUACAUCUGACGUUGGUCUCAUUUAUGGAGGUAAUACUCAGUGCUUGGUUACUGGCUAUUCUGAUUCAGACUAUGCUGGAGAUGUUGACACAAGAAGAUCGAUGACUGGCUAUGUGUUUACCCUUGGAGGAUCUGUCGUCAGUUGGAAGGCAACUUUGCAACCUACAGUGACUUUGUCUACUACGGAAGCGGAGUACAUGGCCUUGACAGAGGCUGCAAAAGAAGGGAUUUGGUUGAAAGGGCUGGUUAGCGAUCUUGGUCUGCAUCAUGAUCAGGCUACGGUGUAUUGUGACAGUUUGAGCGCAAUUUGUCUAGCCAAGGAUCAAGUCCAUCAUGAGAGAACCAAGCAUAUUGACGUAAGGUAUCAUUUUCUGAGAAGUGAGAAGAGAAUCAAGGUGAAGAAAGUAGGAACUGCUGAUAAUCCUGCUGAUAUGUUUACAAAGCCGGUUCCACAGAGCAAGUUUCAACACUGUUUGGACUUGCUCAACAUCAGAAGCUGUUAAUUGCCCUGCGGGGCAACUCUGAGGAAGAUGGGGAGGCCUGACACUAUCAUAGUGCGUCUGAAGAAUCUGUUCGGAGAAUUCAAGUCAAGGUGGAGAUUUGUUGAAUGCCUUGAAUUGGGCCCUUAAUUUUCUAUUGAUUCUGUAUGUUGGGCCCAAGCCUGUUAGGGCGUAGCUUAGCACUAUAUAUAGACGCUAUGGGAAACCCUAUUCUGUAAUUCUAUUCUUGCCUCUCCAUAAUAAAACUGUCCCCCUCUUCCCGUGGACGUAGCCAAUUUAUUGGUGAACCACGUAAACUGUUGUCUUGUUUUUCGCAUUUAUAUUUUCUCGUAUUAUCUCAAAUUCCGCACAACAAAAAUUGUAUAUAGAAAUUUGUAACUUUGUUUCAUUAUUCUCAUGUAUCUAGAAUAAAGUUCUCCCUUUUCACAUAUAUAUGUGUAGAGUUCAUAUCAUUUUAAAUUUUAAUUUUAAAUCUUUUUACGAAUUAAGUCCUACAUAGUAUGAUCUUGGUACUAUUUAUUAUUUCAUGGGUGAUCAUUCCCAAAAUUGAAUGAUCCCAGUAAAUGUACAAUACAUUAACAUUAAUAUAUAAUAUGUUUAUGAUAUAUGAACUUUUUAGUUUUGUUUUCUCUCAAUAUUUUUUCAUUGCAGGGUUAAAUCUCUAUCCGUUAACAUUCAAGCUAAGAAUAGAUCCUAGCACUAAAAUGACCCAAUAUAAAUGGAAGAACUAUGUGAACUCUGAAGCUCUACUUACCCAAAUAGAUACAACACUAAACCUAGUUACACAUCUAGUGCAAGAUGUUCUUUCUAACACAUCUUCUUAAGGAAACAAACCCAGAAAUUUAAAAAAGCAUGUAUCUUGAUUUUUUUUACUCGUAAGAUACACGUAUCUCAAUUUUUUAACUCUCGAAUACAUGGCAACUGGAAAAAAAAAAGACAUCCGUGGCUCAAGGAAAUUAGAGGGGGAAUACUUAAUUAGAUGACUGAUUAAUUAUGAUCAACAUUAUGUGAAUGUAUAUGAUGGAAAUAUAGCUAAAUUCCUUAAUCACUUUUUGUGAAAUAAUAUUUAUUUUGAUAAAGAGAAUAUGAAUAGUAAUUUUUCUAACUUCUACCCUUAUUUAGAAGGGACGGUUUAGAGGACUAACACUGCAUAAGAAAAUUGUACCAAAAGCAAAGUAAAUUGUACUACUUUUGCUCUGUCUGGCCCAUAUUUAUUGGCAAUAGUUGCUUUACAUCCACGUGUAAGAAAUUGGAAUCACCUCUGCUUUUGAAAUAAAUAAAUUGUCUCUCUUUGCAAACUAUAAACAUCUCUAUCACUUUCUCUUUUUAUCUUGAAAUGGGUGAGUUCUUUUUGUCCCAUGUAUUAUAUGUGAUAAUUGUAAAAUGUCUAUUUUUAUCCUUCAAUUCCUAAUUUAUUUCCAGUUCUUUUUGGUAUUUAUUGGAUAUUAUGAUUUUUAAUGCAUUGUUGUAAGAUAUUAUUCUUGCAUGUUACUAAUUCGGUUUGAUUUAAUCAGGGUUGUUCGAAAAUUGAUUUCUCCAUUUUUUUACUAGAUGGUGUGAUGUAGUACUGUAGCGCAUCUAGAGCUUUUUUGUGGGUUUUUGUUCUUUUAGAACUUGUCAAUUUUUUUUUCUAUUUGUGCAAGUUUGAGCUCCCUAUUUUGAAAGUUAAAUUUUUAUUUUGAAUUUUGAAUUUGACUUGAGAGUUGUAUUGUGAAUGGCUUAGGAAAAUAACAAAGAUAGCCUAUAUGUAGAGCAAUGAAACUCGAACGUGAAUUUGGGGAAACAACAAACGUCUAUUUCCAUCUUAAGAGUAGUUCCAUUUUUUUAAAAAAAAAUGAGAAAAAAUCAUGUGAAUGUAGAGUAACGCAUGUUUUUCUUUCCUCCUUUGAAUUGCUUCCCUUUCAUAUCAAUCUGCUAAUAUUGAUCCAUUUGACAACUAAUUUUAAUGUUUUCUUAUUUUUCUAGCAUAUGGAAAGAUGCAAGCACAAGGUGGAUAAGCUGAUAGGAAAAAACAUGUUCUCGGGAUCACUAGAACCCUUUGGGAUGCUUCAACCAAUAAUGAAAGCAUAUAGUUUUUCUCCACCGUAUUACAGUAACAAAAUUUUUUUUCAUAAGUUCCUUUUGGCUCAUUUGGUGUCGAAUGCACAAGCAGAGCAGAGAAGAACAAGGUAAACGUAAUGGUAGCACAAUGUAAUUAUAGAAAACUUCAGUAUUUAGGAUAGAAAGUCGACUGGUCCGUUAAAAGUUUUCUUAUUUUGCAUAAAUUACUUUAAGUGUUCUCAAUAGAGUUAUAGCGUGACAUGUGGAUGGAUUUUCCUAAAUUGUUAUUGCAUUCGUAUAUAAUUUUAUGCACUACUUUUGAAGUAUCCGACACGAAGAGUCCAAGCAACAUAGCAAGUAGAAAAAAGUGUCCCCGCAAAUGCAGCAAUAAGAAGAAAGGUCUUUGGUUAUCCAGGAGGUGACACUGUUGUUGUGAUAAACCCUGUUGUCGAAAUCAAAAUUCUUCGGAAGAGCCGAUUAAACACUCUUGAGCAAAAGAAAAGCAAAUACGACUGAAGAUUUUUACUUCCCUCUCUUUUACCAAUAAUGAAAGAUAUGAAUGCAUUCCCUUGCCUAGAUGAAAGGUAUAUCAAGUAAUAUCAUUAUAUAUAGUUAGAUUGAUGAUCUAUUAUCAGGUUGUUUAUGGAUGUUCAUGCAAAUCGAACAAUCUUCUUCUUGAUGUUGUGAUCCUGUGCAUUACAGUUUAGAUUACAUUUCAAUAUUGACAUUUUAAACUUGAAGUAUAGUUUAUACAGAACAACUCACAAUAACUCUAACUUAAAUAGCUUGAUUUCUGAAAAUACCAUAUUAACAAAAAUGACAAGCUUUAUUAAUAUUAAAAUGGAUGAAAGCUAAAAAAAUAAUUCAGACACACAUAUAGGUCAACUGGUGAUAUAUUAUUCCAUAUUUGCUUUUGUACUUUUUCACUAUAGUAAAUAUUUUUAUGAUGAUCGACAUGUCAACUUUUUGUCUACUUUGUAUUAAAUUGUUCAGGUUGUACAUUAGCUUGGAUAGUAGUAAAUUUAUCAUUUUUUAAUACAAUUAUCUACAACUCAUUUUAUUUGUACUUAAAUAGAUAGUAGUAACCAAUGAACUCAUAACGCUUAUCUUAAGAUUCCAUAUUCAGACCAUAAAAACUACAUAUCUAUUUUAUCACUCAUUGGUGGAAAGUCUAAAUCUAUAACUAUAUGAUAUUUCAUUCCAGGCAUUUUUGAUAAAAGCAAGCUGAGAAUAGAGUCAUAUUUGGUGAACAUUUCUUCAGCUGGACACUUAAAUCGGGGAUCGACUCUAAAACCUUUCCUGGGUACAUGUAUAGGGUGUCAAAGUUGAACUAGGAAGCAUCCGUACUAGCAUGUGACAUCUUCGACUUUACCCGUCUUUGGAGUCUAUUUGUAAGUCCAAAUUUAUGGAUGUUCAGAAAGAACUUGAUUGAUAAUAUCGUUUUUUCAGUUCAUAGCGUUGGUUUGAUAUUUGAGAUCUGUUUAUGUUGUAAAUGUGCAAAGUCUAAUCUUUUGAUUGUAAAAAAAAGGAUUAUAAUCUUAGGCUAUGAAAUUUAUACAUCACUUCCCUUGCGGUUAGUAUUUAUUUUUUAAUGCUCAAAUGUCCUCUUUAUUCAUGUUUUCUUUGUGAAUUCUAGCCUCAGGAGUAUCUAUCGGAUAAAAAUAGCAGUAACAACAAGUAAAGAGGAUUGAAGCAACAAUGUCUUUGACGAAAUUUUCCAGUGAAAGAAAGAUCACCAACAAGUUUGUUUAACUCUUUUUCUACAACUAUCUACUAUCAAGCUCAUCGCUUAGCAUGGACGUUAAUCAUCGAUAUUUCUUUUGUCAUGCUAUUCUCUACAUUAUGCUUCAUAUACAAAAGACAUAUGUCUUGAAUCGAAAAUGAACACUCAUUUAGUUGAAUUAAGAUACUGAAUGUUGUCACAAUUGUUUACUUGGUGUUUAAAUGAACUUUAUUUGAAGUAUCAUACCAUUAUUCAAUGGUAUUGAAAAAUUGAGGAUAAGUAUAACGUUUUAAUUAAAUUUUAGUUAAAAUUGUGAGUUUGAGUUGUAAUUUAUCCUAUCUGAAACUGCUUACUCUAGCAAUAUGUUGGUAUCUCAUAUUGAGAAGUACAUUGUUGCUAUUCCUGGCCCAGUUCACUAUAUUUUUAUGAAAUUCUUUGAUCUCUACAGGUUUAUUUGUUUUUUGCUAUGAAUAACUUUGGAUAUAUUGGUGCUACUCCUAGCCUGAUUCACUAUAUCUCUAAUUUUCUAUUGAAUAGUGAAAAUGUAGGUUUUGAAGUGAUUUACUAAUACAUUAUAUGUGUACAUUUUGAUUUUUUUUAGAAGAAAUCACAAUGGACAUUCUUUUGUUUGACCAACAUCUAAGAUUAUCAGUUUCAUGUGUUAUUAUAAACUGUCAAAUAUUUAAUCUAUUCAGUAGGUAACUUUCUGAUUUAGUCUGCUUAGUUCAAGUUUUAUGAAUUUGAUGAAAAAACAUUUGGAAUGAUUAGCAAUUAGUACUUUUCGAUCCUUGCUCACUUUAACCAUUAUAUAUCGUUAGUGAGGUAAGUAAUCGAAAAAACAAUCGAAUUCUAGAAACAGAACAGAUUAGAUCAUGGAAAAGGAUUGAUUAUAAAUUCUCUUAUUAUCAUUUCUUCAGGUAUAAUUUUACAUGGCUAAAGAUGAAAAUUGACCUUGAUAGGCUUUAAUAGAAACUUGUGUUGACUACUUCUGGCCUGUGGAAAGCAGAUAUGUACAAGAGUUGAAAAGUUAAUGUUUUUUUAAAUGAUAUGUUGUAAAUGCGGAAUGUUUCCAAUUACUUUUUUGUUGAUCAGGCGACAUCCGAAUUUGAACUGGGAAAAAAAGGAUUUGCAAUCCUCUUAGAGUCUUUUACCAUGUCUGCUCUUUACUUGAUCAUCUCUUUCAUUGAUACAUCGAGAUUACUUGAAUAAAUUAUUUCUGUAGUUUAUACUGCUAAAUUUAAAAUUUAUGGAGAUCGAACUUGCAAUGUUGGGCCUGUGCUCAGCACGGGCCAUGCCUCUCUAGUUAAAAAAAUAAAGGAUAGAAUUUAAAAUAAAGAGAUAUUAAAGUAUUCAUUUUCUAUUUUGUUUCUAAACGUAGAAAAUGAAAAAUAAAAUAAAGUUGAGUCGGGGAUGACCUUACCCUCUCUACGUCCACAUGCAACGCUAUCACCAUUUGCAAUGCAACUUGUCGUUUGUCUAAUGGAUAUUAUUAUUAUUUCCUUAUUAAGAGUUGUGCACAACUCUCCCAAAAAUAGGAGAGGAUUCGUAUAUCUUUUACACUUUGAAGUUAUGUCAAAAUGUCGAUGCUUUCGUAGAAUUUAAUACAAAAUUCAUGUGUUUGAGUCUUGAUGAAAAUUAAAAAUAAGAAUAUUUUAUAUCAUUCGUUUUAAUUUUAAGGGAAAAUGUCCAAGUACCUCCUCAACCUAUACCCGAAAUUCCAGAGACAUACUUAUACUAUACUAAGGUCCUAUUACCCCUGAACUUAUUUUAUAUGUAAUAUUAUACCCUUUUUAGCCUACGUGGCACUAGUUCAAAAAAAAAGUCAACCAUCGUUGGGCCCACAAGAUAGUGCCACGUAAGCUAAAAAGGGUAAAAAAUUAUUAAUAAAAUAAGUUCAAGAGUAAUAAGACCUUAGUAUAGUAUAAGUGUGUCUCUGAUAUUUCGGGCAUAGGUUAAGAGGUACUUGGGCAUUAUCCCAAUUUUAAUGAAAAUAAAAACAAAUAAGAUAAAGAGUAUUUUAUAUGGAUGAGAAGAGCUCUCUAUAAGUUCCGAGUGUUUUCACUUAACCACGGUAGAGAAGAUGACUGACUGACAUAUUUUAUUACCCAUGGAUUUAUUUCUAAUUGUUGUUACAUUAGCUACCUCCUUUAUUCUACUUUUCAUUCUUCAUAAACAAUUUUACUCAGUUAAAAAGCAGAGUAGUAGUAGUAGAAAGGUACCUGAAGCUGGCGGAGCAUGGCCUAUUAUCGGCCAUCUCCACCUUCUCGGUGGAUCUGAAUCUGAUCACUUGCCUCACAAAAUGUUGGGCCGCUUGGCAGAUAAGUACGGGCCUAUUUUCGGAAUGAAGCUUGGAGUUCAUCAGGUUGUAGUUGUGAGUGAUCACAAAUUAGCAAAGGAGUGCUUCACAACUAACGAUUUAGCCCUAGCAGGUCGGCCUAAAUCAAUGGCUUCAGAGAUUAUAGGCUACAAACAUGCUAUGUUUGGACUUUGUUCUUACGGUCCGUACUGGAGAGAAACAAGGAAAAUUGCCACAAUUGAACUUUUCUCCGCUCGACGAAUCGAGAUGCUCAAACACAUCAGAGAAUUUGAGGUAAAAUCAGGUAUUAAAGAGAUUUAUAAUAAUUGGGAGAAGAAUAAUUUAAAUGGUGUUGUGAAGAUGGAGAUGAAGGAAUGGAUUGGGGAUUUAUUUAUGAACACUAUGGGGAAAAUAUUAUUCGGAAAAGGGCGAAGGAGUAACGAGGACGAAGGAAUAAAUAAAGCUCACAAAGCAAUUCGAAGAUUUUUCGAAUUGUUAGGAGUUUUUGUUGUGGCUGAUUUUUUACCUUAUUUAAGAUGGCUGGACAUUGGAGGCCAUGAGAAAGCGAUGAAGGAGGUUUCUAAAGAAAUGGACUCUGUUGUUGAAGAAUGGUUAACAGAGCACAAAACGAAGAGAGGAAUUAUUAAAUCUGGUGAAGAAGAAGAUUUCAUGGAUGUAAUGCUUUCCGUUUGUGAAGACAGAGAUCUACCUGGAGUUGAUGCCGAUACCGCUAUCAAAGCUACAUGUAUGGUACGUUACUUCUGAUCAAAUUACUCUAAAAUUGUAUGAUCACGUAUAUGGUUCCGAUUGUUGAAUUUGUCUUGUUUAGGCUCUGCUAUCGGCAGGCACAGACACAACGAUGGUAACUCUAACAUGGAUUUUAUCUCUACUACUCAACAACUAUCAAUCACUUCAAAAGGCUCAAGAUGAGCUAGACGCUCAUGUUGGCAAGAAUAGAUGGGUCCAAGAAUCCGAUAUAAAAACUUAGUUUAUUUUCAAGCUAUUGUUAAAGAAGCAUUACGUUUAUAUCCAGCUGGACCGCUCUCUUUACCACACGAGUCGAUGGAGGAUUGUACUAUCAGUGGGUAUGAUAUACCAAAAGGCACUCGCUUAUUAGUGAACAUAUGGAAGAUUCAGCGCGAUCCUAAUAUAUGGCCAAAUCCUCACGAGUUUAAGCCAGAGAGGUUCUUGUCGACCCACAAGGAUGUCGAUGUAAAGGGCAAUCACUUUGAGUUAAUGCCAUUUGGUAGUGGAAGAAGAAUGUGCCCUGGAAUUUCGUUGGCCCUUCAAGUUUUGCCCUUUGUAAUAGCAAUGUUGCUGCAGGGGUUUGACAUGAAGAGGCUUUUGGAUGAACCGAUUGAUAUGAGUGAGAGCUUUGGAUUGACCGUACUCAAAGCUUCUCCACUCGAAGUUCUCCUUGCUCCGCGCUUGGCUCCCGAUCUUUAUGAAUGAAAUGAUAGACAAAAUUUGUGCCUCAUGCCACUGUUGUUUACUAC